CCUACGGGAGGCAGCAGUAAGGAAUAUUGGACAAUGGGCGAAAGCCUGAUCCAGCCAUGCCGCGUGAGUGAUGAAGGCCCUAGGGUUGUAAAGCUCUUUCAACGGUGAAGAUAAUGACGGUAACCGUAGAAGAAGCCCCGGCUAACUUCGUGCCAGCAGCCGCGGUAAU
This 169-nucleotide ribosomal RNA is filed under the name uncultured bacterium. RNAcentral describes it as "partial 16S ribosomal RNA". It matches the Rfam family "Bacterial small subunit ribosomal RNA", at positions 338 to 524 of the family's 1533-position model. The record is from RNAcentral.